AAUUGUUUAAGAGCCGCGGUAUUUUGACCGUGCAAAGGUAGCAUAAUCAUUAGUUUCUUAAUUGGAAACUCGUAUGAAGGAUCGGACAAAGGAAAGACUGUCUCUAUAGUAGAAAUUGAAAUUAACUUUUAAGUGAAAAGGCUUAAAUAAUUCAGGGGGACGAUAAGACCCUAUAAAGCAUUUUAUUGGGGCGAUAUAAGUAUAAUUAUUAACUACUUAAAUUUUAUACAAAGAUAUAUGGAUUGAUCCUUUAUAAAGAUUAAAAGACUAAGUUACUUUAGGGAUAACAGCGUAAUUUCUUUUGAGAGUUCAUAUCGAAAGAGAAGUUUGCGACCUCGAUGUUGAAUUAAAAUGUCUAUAUAAUGCAGACGUUAUAUUAGAAGGUCUGUUCGACCUUUAAAAUUUU
Molecule: ribosomal RNA, 406 nt
Filed under: Lydia annulipes
Lineage: Eukaryota; Metazoa; Arthropoda; Malacostraca; Decapoda; Oziidae
Description: partial 16S large subunit ribosomal RNA
Rfam family: Bacterial large subunit ribosomal RNA
Source: RNAcentral